This 703-nucleotide unclassified non-coding RNA is filed under the name Kirschsteiniothelia vinigena. RNAcentral's name for it is "Kirschsteiniothelia sp. 1 ERA-2017 sequence contains 28S rRNA gene". It matches the Rfam family "Eukaryotic large subunit ribosomal RNA", at positions 96 to 819 of the family's 3401-position model. Lineage: Eukaryota; Fungi; Ascomycota; Dothideomycetes; Kirschsteiniotheliales; Kirschsteiniotheliaceae. The record is from RNAcentral.
AAGCGGCAGCAGCCCAAAUUUGAAAUCUGGCCCCUCGGGCCCGAGUUGUAAUUUGGAGAGGAUGCCUCGGCGUGUGGCCCCGGUCGAAGUGCCUUUGAACGGGCCGUCAGAGAGGGUGAGAACCCCGUCCGCGGUCGCGGGCCGCCGCCGUGUGAGGCUCCUUCGACGAGUCGAGUUGUUUGGGAAUGCAGCUCUAAACGGGAGGUAAAUUCCUUCCAAGGCUAAAUAUCCGCCAGAGACCGAUAGCGCACAAGUAGAGUGAUCGAAAGGUGAAAAGCACUUUGAAAAGAGGGUGAAACAGCACGUGAAAUUGUUGAAAGGGAAGCGCUUGCAACCAGAGUCGUCCGCGGGGGCUCCGCCGGCCUUCGGGCCCGGUGCACUCCUCCGCGGUCGGGCCAGCAUCAGCUCGGCCGGUCGGAUAAAGGCCGUGGGAAUGUGACACCCCCGGGUGUGUUAUAGCCCGCGGGACAAUACGGCCCGCCUGGGCUGAGGUCAACGCCUUUAUGGCACGGAUGCUGGGCGUAAUGGUUGUCACCGGCCCGUCUUGAAACACGGACCAAGGAGCUAACAUCUAUGCGAAUGUUCGGGUGCCAACCCGGGACGGAAUGAAAAGGAACGGAAGUGGGAACCCUCCGGCGCACAUCCUACCGAUCUUAAGGACUCCGGAUGGAUUUAAGGAUGAACCUAUCUUGUUGUAACCAGG